This 64-nucleotide transfer RNA is filed under the name Polycarpa mytiligera. RNAcentral describes it as "transfer RNA-Thr". The record is from RNAcentral. Lineage: Eukaryota; Metazoa; Chordata; Ascidiacea; Stolidobranchia; Styelidae.
UACCUUUUAGUUUAUUAAUAAAAUACUGUUUUUGUAAUGCAGAGAAAAUUAGAAUUAAGGGUAG